Molecule: ribosomal RNA, 433 nt
Filed under: uncultured bacterium
Lineage: Bacteria
Description: partial 16S ribosomal RNA
Rfam family: Bacterial small subunit ribosomal RNA
Source: RNAcentral
AGCGAACGCUGGCGGCAGGCCUAACACAUGCAAGUCGAACGAACUCUUCGGAGUUAGUGGCGGACGGGUGAGUAACACGUGGGAACGUGCCUUUAGGUUCGGAAUAACUCAGGGAAACUUGUGCUAAUACCGAAUGUGCCCUUCGGCGGAAAGAUUUAUCGCCUUUAGAGCGGCCCGCGUCUGAUUAGCUAGUUGGUGAGGUAAAGGCUCACCAAGGCGACGAUCAGUAGCUGGUCUGAGAGGAUGAUCAGCCACAUUGGGACUGAGACACGGCCCAAACUCCUACGGGAGGCAGCAGUGGGGAAUCUUGCGCAAUGGGCGAAAGCCUGACGCAGCCAUGCCGCGUGAAUGAUGAAGGUCUUAGGAUUGUAAAAUUCUUUCACCGGGGACGAUAAUGACGGUACCCGGAGAAGAAGCCCCGGCUAACUUCGUG